CAACCUCUGGCGAAAUACGUGAAUGUUG
This 28-nucleotide non-coding RNA is filed under the name Flavobacterium johnsoniae UW101. Its description in RNAcentral is "L19-Flavobacteria ribosomal protein leader". It matches the Rfam family "L19-Flavobacteria ribosomal protein leader". RNAcentral also lists the same sequence under 1 other name. Lineage: Bacteria; Pseudomonadati; Bacteroidota; Flavobacteriia; Flavobacteriales; Flavobacteriaceae. The record is from RNAcentral.